RNAcentral lists this small nuclear RNA (137 nucleotides) under Erinaceus europaeus (western European hedgehog). Its description in RNAcentral is "U1 spliceosomal RNA (ENSEEUG00000023333.1)". Lineage: Eukaryota; Metazoa; Chordata; Mammalia; Eulipotyphla; Erinaceidae. The record is from RNAcentral.
UUACUUAGCUGUUGGAAGAGAUAACACAAUCAAAGGUGGUCUUCCCAAGGUGAGGCUUCCACUGCAGUCUGAAUGGCUGACCUCUGCAAGACUCAGCAGUGUGUGCUAGUGGGGGCCUGCCUCUGUGCUUGCCCAGG